This 438-nucleotide ribosomal RNA is filed under the name Gigaspora margarita. RNAcentral's name for it is "eukaryotic LSU rRNA". It matches the Rfam family "Eukaryotic large subunit ribosomal RNA", at positions 242 to 623 of the family's 3401-position model. Lineage: Eukaryota; Fungi; Glomeromycota; Glomeromycetes; Diversisporales; Gigasporaceae. The record is from RNAcentral.
GUUAUUAAAUACGUUUCUAAGAGUCGAGUUGUUUGGGAAUGCAGCUCUAAAUGGGUGGUAAAUUUCACCUAAUGCUAAAUAUAAGCGAGAGACCGAUAGCGAACAAGUACAGUGAUGGAAAGAUGAAAAGAACUUUGAAAAGAGAGUUAAAUAGUACGUGAAAUUGUUGAAAGGGAAACGAUUGAAGUCAGUCAUGCCGGUGGGAAUCAACUUAGGGGAAACUCUGGGUGCACUUCUUCGCUUGGCAGGUCAACGUCGAUUUUGAAUGUCAUAAAAUAAUUGGGGGAAGGUAGCUCCUUCGGGAGUGUUAUAGCCCUUGAUAGAUGUGAUGUUUGGGGUCGAGGAUUGCAACGGAUACCCUUCGGGGCUAGCCGCCUGAUCUCUAAUUGGUGUUGGGUUACGGAUAGCAUGCUGACCGUGAUCUAAUUACUGGUUAGA